GAUCUCAAAUCAAGUAAGACUACCCGCUGAACUU
This 34-nucleotide ribosomal RNA is filed under the name Mortierella alpina. RNAcentral describes it as "partial 28S ribosomal RNA". RNAcentral also lists the same sequence under 2 other names. Lineage: Eukaryota; Fungi; Mortierellomycota; Mortierellomycetes; Mortierellales; Mortierellaceae. The record is from RNAcentral.